RNAcentral lists this ribosomal RNA (254 nucleotides) under uncultured prokaryote. Its description in RNAcentral is "partial 16S ribosomal RNA". It matches the Rfam family "Bacterial small subunit ribosomal RNA", at positions 524 to 776 of the family's 1533-position model. The record is from RNAcentral.
UACGUAGGGGGCGAGCGUUGUCCGAAGUUACUGGGCGUAAAGCGCGCGUAGGCGGCCCGUGAAGUCCGGGGUGAAAGGUUCAGCGCUCAACGCGAACAGUGCCCUGGAUACUCUCGGGCUUGAGUGUGGGAGGGGGGAGCGGAAUUCCUGGUGUAGCGGUGAAAUGCGUAGAUAUCAGGAGGAACACCGGUGGCGAAGGCGGCUCCCUGGCCUGACACUGACGCUGAGGCGCGAAAGCGUGGGGAGCGAACGGG